This is a small nucleolar RNA of Cornus florida, 111 nucleotides long. Lineage: Eukaryota; Viridiplantae; Streptophyta; Magnoliopsida; Cornales; Cornaceae. The record is from RefSeq and is a predicted model, not a curated record.
AGGUCAUGAUGUGGACACUUUCUUAGCAAGUCAUUCAAACACUCCCACGCUUCAUGUAGGGGUUCUCUAUCUCGUUGAGUAAACUCACAAAUUAAGGUUCUUAUUGAAUUA